AUGUAUGUGACGGGCAUCCAUCUUGUUGUUCCUGGAUAGCGCUAAAAGUAGGAUGAUCCGAAUGUUUUUAAACAUGCAUAACUACAGAGAUUUGAGUGAAAAGUGUUUUGGAAAGCUCUCGAGAUAAGCUACAAGAAUAUGUAAUGAGAAAUAGUAGGUUCUAUUUAAGAAAUUGAAUAUGACCUUCAUGUGACCAUCAAGUAACUCUUCAAGGUCAAACCAAUGAUACCAUCUUAUGUCCCCCUCGAAGCCAUACAACUUUUGUCUGAAACAUUUUUCUCUAAAAUGUUCUAUUUCCGAAAUAAAAGGGCUGUACGGGUGGUCUGAAUCACCCUUAUAUAUAUAUAUAUAUAUAUAU
Molecule: long non-coding RNA, 358 nt
Organism: Ooceraea biroi (clonal raider ant)
Lineage: Eukaryota; Metazoa; Arthropoda; Insecta; Hymenoptera; Formicidae
Source: RefSeq, a predicted model, not a curated record